GUGGUUGUAGCUCAGUUGGUAGAGCCCCGGAUUGUGAUUCCGGUUGUCGUGGGUUCGAACCCCAUCAUCCACCCCA
This 76-nucleotide transfer RNA is filed under the name Rheinheimera baltica. RNAcentral's name for it is "tRNA-His". It matches the Rfam family "tRNA". From Rfam's summary of the family: Transfer RNA (tRNA) molecules are approximately 80 nucleotides in length. Their secondary structure includes four short double-helical elements and three loops (D, anti-codon, and T loops). Lineage: Bacteria; Pseudomonadati; Pseudomonadota; Gammaproteobacteria; Chromatiales; Chromatiaceae. RNAcentral also lists the same sequence under 28 other names. The record is from RNAcentral.